UAAAAAACAUACUCCUUCUAAAAAGGAAAUGAUGGAUGAUACUGAAGAGGAAAUGAGAAGGAGAUGGAAAAUGGGUUACAAAAGGCACCAAGCACAUAUGAUGGGCCCUGUUCAAGAGAUUUCGUUGCACUCAACAAUUACCUUCAGUCCAUUGACUGGACGCAUGAUCUUUCCGGUUUAUCACUUCAAGUAUCAAUAUUAUACGGACUUAGCAAACACCGCUGGAGUAAAAAACAUUGAUUUUGUUAUGGCAAAACUUCAUGAUGUCAGCAGUGGGCGGUUCCUAGAUGAUUUAGUGAAUUUUAGAAAUGAUAUUUUUAGAAUUGUCGAUGAAACUACUUUUAUAAAAAUAAACUAAAAACCACAUUAUUUUUAUUAUAUUUAGUAAAAGGUUUGUUCGUCGAUAUUAUACAUAAAUAUAUUACAAAUUAAAUUAAAACUAAUGUUGAAAUUUGGAGAAUCUAAUCAUAAGUACAGUAUGAAAUAAAUUAGUUUUUUUGCAUGUGCAAAUCAAACAAAUUUUUGAUUUCAAAAACCCAUCCCCUGAACUUGCUGUGACGAUUUCAAACUAUAAAGUGUUUUUUUCAGCCAAAACUUUUUUUCAGGGAAGUCAUAUAUCUUGGUUUGGUUUCCAGUAACGGCCUUAGGGGGUGGCCAACGAGGCAAUCGCCUGGGGUCUCGCGCUUUGAGGGGCCUCGCGCAACAACCUAAGCUAAUUAGUUAAUUAGUUGCACAAAAUCGUGCACUUUCUGAUAAAAGCAUGAAAUUUAUACCUAUCCUUGGUAGUACUCAAUAUAAGAGUUAUUUUGAGAUAUUGGGCCACCUUGUAUUCCAUCUGGGAGGGUAGGUACAAGAGCUUUUCUGUGUUGCAUCCGUAUUGUUUCAUAUCAUAGCACAAUUUUAUUAAUAUAAAACAUGAUUUCGAGGUAAUUUUUAACGCCCGAUCGAAUAAAAUUAUUACCAAAAUGUUAUUGUAAUCUUUAUAAAUAGUCAUUUACUUAAAGAACAAGAGCAAAAAUAUUACCAAGUACACCGACAAAAAACGUGGGGCUCUCGAAAAAGCCGACUUUAAACUCCGCUAUGGCAUUAGGAAUGCCAAAAUAAAGAUUCUGCAAAGUCAGGAAGCGGACCCUAACCUAGUUGAGGAUAUAGUCGAGGAUGACGAUACCCCCAAAGAGGCAGGGUUCUCCGGCGAGAGGCUGAUAACUGACGAUGCAGAAUCCGAUAUAAAUUAAAAACAUGCUGCACGUCGUUAGGGUUAAUCUGAAGCACUCUAAAUGUGCUUCAGAUAACCUGAGAGUUUUCCUAAGGGAGGAAAACUUUGAUGUGGGCAUCAUACAAGAGCCCUGGAUUAAUGGCCUCCGAGUGAGAGGUCUCCAAGACAGCCAAUAUGACCUUUUUUACAAGCCCGUCAGUUCGAGCCAAGGUAAGCCAAGAACAUGUAUUUUAGCUAAAAAACACUUAAAAGCUUUUUUGUGUCCCAAUCUUAGCACCUCUGAUUUGACCGUUGUCAAAUUAGAGGGUUCAAAUACUGAAGGACUACUUUUGGCAUCUGCGUACAUGGCACAUGACCAGCAGUCACCGCCGGAGGAAGUACGUAGGCUGACAACUCAAGCCAGUACAAUGAAGACAAGCCUACUCAUCGGGUGUGACGCAAAUGCACGUCAUACUCUUUGGGGUAGUUCUGAGAUCAAUGAUCGAGGUGAGUCUUUAUUUGAUUAUAUCAUUGAAAAUAACCUUACCCUUUGCAAUAGAGGUACUACUCCAACAUUCACGUUUCCUAGUUCAAGGAACUAUGAAGGAUGGGAGGAUGUACUAGACAUCACUAUUACAAAUAGCAACUUCAAUUUGCAGGUUGAAAAUUGGAGAGUAUCCCCUUUAAAAUCCUUUUCAGACCAUAGUUGGAUUCUGUUCCAACUUAAGUUUGAAACCAAAAUCCCACCCCCUUAUAGAAAUCCCAAAAGAACUGACUGGAAGAAUUUCGGUCAAGUUUUUAGUGUAAAGUUACGCAAUAUACCCAAUAUAAAUACAGAUUCGGUGGAUGAUCUCAAAUCAAAGGUAAUGACCUUUGAACGAGCAAUGAUCACUGCCUUUAAAGUCUCUUGUCCGGUGAGACAUAGUAGCAAAAUAUUUCCCCCUUGGUGGAACGAAGACCUGUCUAAUCUGAGGAAAAUGACUAGAACAAUCUUCAACAUCUGCCAUAAACACAAAUUCUAUGAACCCUAUAAAGAUUGCUUAAGAGUCUACAAGCGUAGCAUAGCAUCAGCCAAAAAGGAAAGCUGGGAGGAAUACUGUCACUCCAUAGAAGAUAUUAAGGAUUCUGCCAGGCUUAGCAAGGUUUUAUCGAGGGAACACUCAAAUCCCUCGUUUCUUAAAAAGUCUGACGGAUCCUGAACAAUAUCUCCAGCUGAAUCCUUAGAAUUAUUAAUGACUACUCAUUUUCCGGGGUGCGUUGAUAGCACCUCUGAAGUGAACACAAAUCCCACUUUGCCAUCAGUUACGACUGAGCAAGUAAACCCCUUGAUAACAAGAGAAAAUAUAGCUUGGGCUAUUAACACUUUCUCUCCGUACAAAUCCCCAGGCCCUGAUGGUAUUCUGCCCAUUAUGCUGCAAAAUCAGCAAGAGAUAGCAGUUCUAUGGCUUGAAAAAAUCUUUAAAGGCUGCCUUCUUCUUAAUCAUGUGCCCAAGUCUUGGAGACAAGUUAGCGUGGUUUUCAUACCCAAAGUGGGCAAAAGAGGACAUGAAUCCGCGAAGGAUUUCCGGCCAAUAAGUUUAACAUCUUUCUUACUUAAAUCCUUAGAACGAAUCUUAGAAACUCAUAUUAGAGACAUUUUUAAAAGAUGUCCUCUAGCCAGUUCGCAGCACGCUUAUAUGAGGGGCAAAUCUACGGAAACAGCCCUCCAUGAAGUCGUUCGAACAAUUGAGAACUCGAUACACUUUAAAGAAUAUACCCUAGCUACCUUCUUGGAUGUAGAGGGAGCUUUUAACAAUGUCCUACCCGAAUCUAUUCUCGAAGCCCUAGUGACUUUUGAAGUAGAAGACUAUAUCAGAAGUUGGAUUAUUUCAAUGCUAAAAGAGAGAAGAAUUCAAGCAAGCUUAGGAAAUUCAAACUGUUUUAAAUGCAUUAAUAGGGGUACGCCUCAGGGUGGCGUUCUUUCCCCACUUUUAUGGCUCCUUGUCAUGAACAAUAUCCUCGUGAAGCUUGAGAGAAGUGGAGUGAAGGCAGUGGCAUAUGCGGAUGAUCUGGUUGUACUUGUAUCAGGAAAGUUUUUACCUGUGAUCAGUGAAAUGACUGACACGGCUUUGAGAAAAGUUAGCAACUGGGCUACAAGCUGUGGCCUAGGAGUUAAUCAAAGUAAAACGGAACUGAUGCUUUUUACAACUAAAACCAAAAUCCCUGCCUUCCCUCUACCUCAGCUCAACGGCCAAAUCUUAUCACUUUCUUCUAGCGCCAAAUAUUUAGGUGUAAUUUUGGACACUAAACUGAGCUGGAAGCUUAAUAUAGAAGAGCGGGUUAGAAAGGCGAGCAUUGCUUUCUAUGCCUGCAGUAAAACCUUUGGGAAAAAAUGGGGUCUUAAAUCAAAAAUGAUUCUAUGGACUUACACAGCGGUUGUACGACCCAUUCUUACCUACGGCGCCAUUGUUUGGUGGCCUGCACUUAAUAAAGCUUAUAACAUCAACAAACUUAAGAAAAUCCAGAGAACAGCAAGCGUAGGGACGACUGGAGCCCUCCGGUCGUGCCCCACGGAGGCUCUAAACGUUCUCUUGCACCUCUUACCCAUAGACCUUCAUAUUAAAUACCAGGUCUCUUGUAGCGUUUUAAGGCUAAAAGAAACAGGUAGUUGGAAAGCAAAAUCUUUUGGUCACAGUGACACAACAAAUUUAAUACCAUCGGAUAUGCUUCUGACACCCACGGACUACUGCACCCCUAUUUUGAAUACUGUAAUGAAUUGCAAGGUCAGCUUCCCGUCGAGAUCAGACUGGGAAGAGGGCAUUGUGACGAGAGGCUUCGACACCUGCAUUUUCACUGAUGGCUCAAAAAUCUUAGCACCUCUGAUUUGACCGUUGUCAAAUUAGAGGGUUCAAAUACUGAAGGACUACUUUUGGCAUCUGCGUACAUGGCACAUGACCAGCAGUCACCGCCGGAGGAAGUACGUAGGCUGACAACUCAAGCCAGUACAAUGAAGACAAGCCUACUCAUCGGGUGUGACGCAAAUGCACGUCAUACUCUUUGGGGUAGUUCUGAGAUCAAUGAUCGAGGUGAGUCUUUAUUUGAUUAUAUCAUUGAAAAUAACCUUACCCUUUGCAAUAGAGGUACUACUCCAACAUUCACGUUUCCUAGUUCAAGGAACUAUGAAGGAUGGGAGGAUGUACUAGACAUCACUAUUACAAAUAGCAACUUCAAUUUGCAGGUUGAAAAUUGGAGAGUAUCCCCUUUAAAAUCCUUUUCAGACCAUAGUUGGAUUCUGUUCCAACUUAAGUUUGAAACCAAAAUCCCACCCCCUUAUAGAAAUCCCAAAAGAACUGACUGGAAGAAUUUCGGUCAAGUUUUUAGUGUAAAGUUACGCAAUAUACCCAAUAUAAAUACAGAUUCGGUGGAUGAUCUCAAAUCAAAGGUAAUGACCUUUGAACGAGCAAUGAUCACUGCCUUUAAAGUCUCUUGUCCGGUGAGACAUAGUAGCAAAAUAUUUCCCCCUUGGUGGAACGAAGACCUGUCUAAUCUGAGGAAAAUGACUAGAACAAUCUUCAACAUCUGCCAUAAACACAAAUUCUAUGAACCCUAUAAAGAUUGCUUAAGAGUCUACAAGCGUAGCAUAGCAUCAGCCAAAAAGGAAAGCUGGGAGGAAUACUGUCACUCCAUAGAAGAUAUUAAGGAUUCUGCCAGGCUUAGCAAGGUUUUAUCGAGGGAACACUCAAAUCCCUCGUUUCUUAAAAAGUCUGACGGAUCCUGAACAAUAUCUCCAGCUGAAUCCUUAGAAUUAUUAAUGACUACUCAUUUUCCGGGGUGCGUUGAUAGCACCUCUGAAGUGAACACAAAUCCCACUUUGCCAUCAGUUACGACUGAGCAAGUAAACCCCUUGAUAACAAGAGAAAAUAUAGCUUGGGCUAUUAACACUUUCUCUCCGUACAAAUCCCCAGGCCCUGAUGGUAUUCUGCCCAUUAUGCUGCAAAAUCAGCAAGAGAUAGCAGUUCUAUGGCUUGAAAAAAUCUUUAAAGGCUGCCUUCUUCUUAAUCAUGUGCCCAAGUCUUGGAGACAAGUUAGCGUGGUUUUCAUACCCAAAGUGGGCAAAAGAGGACAUGAAUCCGCGAAGGAUUUCCGGCCAAUAAGUUUAACAUCUUUCUUACUUAAAUCCUUAGAACGAAUCUUAGAAACUCAUAUUAGAGACAUUUUUAAAAGAUGUCCUCUAGCCAGUUCGCAGCACGCUUAUAUGAGGGGCAAAUCUACGGAAACAGCCCUCCAUGAAGUCGUUCGAACAAUUGAGAACUCGAUACACUUUAAAGAAUAUACCCUAGCUACCUUCUUGGAUGUAGAGGGAGCUUUUAACAAUGUCCUACCCGAAUCUAUUCUCGAAGCCCUAGUGACUUUUGAAGUAGAAGACUAUAUCAGAAGUUGGAUUAUUUCAAUGCUAAAAGAGAGAAGAAUUCAAGCAAGCUUAGGAAAUUCAAACUGUUUUAAAUGCAUUAAUAGGGGUACGCCUCAGGGUGGCGUUCUUUCCCCACUUUUAUGGCUCCUUGUCAUGAACAAUAUCCUCGUGAAGCUUGAGAGAAGUGGAGUGAAGGCAGUGGCAUAUGCGGAUGAUCUGGUUGUACUUGUAUCAGGAAAGUUUUUACCUGUGAUCAGUGAAAUGACUGACACGGCUUUGAGAAAAGUUAGCAACUGGGCUACAAGCUGUGGCCUAGGAGUUAAUCAAAGUAAAACGGAACUGAUGCUUUUUACAACUAAAACCAAAAUCCCUGCCUUCCCUCUACCUCAGCUCAACGGCCAAAUCUUAUCACUUUCUUCUAGCGCCAAAUAUUUAGGUGUAAUUUUGGACACUAAACUGAGCUGGAAGCUUAAUAUAGAAGAGCGGGUUAGAAAGGCGAGCAUUGCUUUCUAUGCCUGCAGUAAAACCUUUGGGAAAAAAUGGGGUCUUAAAUCAAAAAUGAUUCUAUGGACUUACACAGCGGUUGUACGACCCAUUCUUACCUACGGCGCCAUUGUUUGGUGGCCUGCACUUAAUAAAGCUUAUAACAUCAACAAACUUAAGAAAAUCCAGAGAACAGCAAGCGUAGGGACGACUGGAGCCCUCCGGUCGUGCCCCACGGAGGCUCUAAACGUUCUCUUGCACCUCUUACCCAUAGACCUUCAUAUUAAAUACCAGGUCUCUUGUAGCGUUUUAAGGCUAAAAGAAACAGGUAGUUGGAAAGCAAAAUCUUUUGGUCACAGUGACACAACAAAUUUAAUACCAUCGGAUAUGCUUCUGACACCCACGGACUACUGCACCCCUAUUUUGAAUACUGUAAUGAAUUGCAAGGUCAGCUUCCCGUCGAGAUCAGACUGGGAAGAGGGCAUUGUGACGAGAGGCUUCGACACCUGCAUUUUCACUGAUGGCUCAAAAAUGGAUUGUGGGGUCGGUUCGGGUGUCUACUAUGAAUCCCUCAAUAUCUCAAAAUCCUUUCGACUACCAAACUUUGCCAGUGUAUUCCAAGCAGAAUUGCUGGCAUUUAAAGAAGCUUGCAAAUUACUUAGAGUAUAUCCAAAUCAAAGCCAAAAUACAGCUAUACUAACAGAUAGUCAGGCAGCUAUAAAAGCAAUUGAUUCGGUCACGACAUCCUCCAAAUUGGUUCAGCAGUGCAGAGAGGAACUCUCAUUGCUGAGUGGAAGCCUCACAAUCACUCUCAUCUGGAUCCCAGGUCACAGUGGUUUUGAAGGCAAUGAAAAGGCGGAUGAACUGGCCAGGCAAGGAUCAGCCCUUCAUGAGUCACUAGCAGAAAUAGUUAACAUUCCCAUAGGAGUCAUGAAGGGCGAUAUCUUCUUAAAAUACCUAACAAAAGCUAACAAUAGGUGGCACAACUUGACUAGCUGCGUCAUAUCCAGAAAAAUCUGGCCCACCUAUAAUAAAUCCAAAACAUAUGACCUAAUCUCUAGACCCAGAAAAGAUAUUAGCAGAAUCGUUGCGGUGUGCACAGGACAUUGGCCGAUAGGGGAACAUGCAGCAAAGUUGGGUAUACCGCACAAUACCUAGUGUCGCAGCUGCUUGGACCAGCAAGAAAAAGAAACGGUCUUCCAUUUCCUAUGUCAAUGUCCCGCCCUUGCUAGGAAUAGAGCACUCUCUCUGGGGAGUGAAUUCUUUAAUGUCAUAGAUAACAUCUCAGAAUCAAAGAUCAAAAACUUGAUCUCGUUCCUAAAUGCAACAAAGUGGAUUUAGGACUGCCUAACACUUGUUUUUCCCUUUUUUAAAACCAAUUAAAAAAUGUAUUUCAAAUAAAUCCAAUUAUCACUCACAGGUUUCAUAAGUUUUGGUAUCAAAACGGCGCAUCCUGCGCUAAUUGGGUCAAUCAAACAUGGUUUGCCUUGACCGCCAUCUCUACCUACCUACCUACACCGACAAAAAAAAAAACAAUAUCAAUAUCAAUCUUGAGAUUGGCAACUCUGGUUCGUAAACAAAUAGACGUCAAUUUAUUCAUCUGCUCAAAAAUAAUUAUUUUUUUUACAAAUUUUUCGAUUUAAUUUAUAUAAUUAAUAAAAAGUUUUCAUUUUUAUCAAUUGUUUAAAAGUGAUAAAGCAAAAUUAUAUAAAUUAUAUGCUUUACAUAAGAUAUAAUGCAAAUUUUAUAGUUGCGCGGCACAUUCACGACAUAACCUCUUUUUCUGUUCAUGGCAAAUAAUACUCCUUUUAAACGUAUCCACAGCGAAACCUCACCAGAAUACUCAGUGCAGCAGAUCAACAAAAAAUAUUACUCAUCGUCAUCAAACGCUGGUUCAAGUAAACGAACGAAUAUUGGUAAAAUGGGUGAUGCUUUUUCCUGGGAUUCGUUUCAUAUGAAAAUGAAAAUUAUGCUAGAGAAUGUUGUUAAAAAAGAUGACAUGAGAGUUCUACAAGAAGAAAUCUUAAUAGUAAAAAACGAGAACAUCAAACUUCGGAAAGAAAUUGGCGACAUAAAAAACAAACUCCAAUUUUUUGACCAAAAGUUCCGUCGAAAUAACAUUGUAGUUAGUGGUCUCAAAAGUAGGAACAUCACUGAAGCAAACCAAUCUCUGAUAGGGAUGCAAACGAUACAUCGAUGUUUUCAAAACAUCGAUGUUUUUGUUAAAAACAUCGAUGUAUACAUCGAUGUUUCUUAAGCCGAUACAUCGCCGAUACAUCGACGUUAAAUCUGCAAAACAUCGACAUCGUUCAUUUUGUUACUCGUUUUUCUUUUUUUGCAUAAUAACAGAACUUGAACUCUCAAACUCAAUCUUUUUUGUCUAGUGUUCAAAGCUUUAAAUUUUUUUUUUAAUGUUUUCAUUCAAAAGACUGUUUCUGUGUGUUCAGAAAUCAGAACGCGACCAUCAGAGGCGUACGUUGCCGGGGCUCCGGGACAAUAUUAAUUUUAAGGGGCCAUUUCGACAUUUUUUUAAAAAGGAUAUGUAUACGCCUUUUUCUUUUUUUGGGGGCCCCAGAAGUAUUAUUUGUUGGUCGCUUAGAUUAUUUUAGUAGCAUUUUUUGAGGUCCCUGAGGUAAUAUUUUUUCUACUUUAUUUAUAAUAACAGUUUCCUUCUCUGCAUUGUCUCCGGUCAGGGCCCUAGCGUCAGUUGGGGCCUCGGGGCACCGCCCCGCUUGGCCCAAUGGUGUGUACGCCUAUGGCGACCAUUAUUGACAUGCUUGUGAGUUACGUUCAGAGCUCUGAACGUUAAAAAAAAAGAGUAUGUGUACAUGUAAAUGAAUUUCAUUUGAUAUUUUAAAUAUUUUUGUUUUAUAUUUUUAUUAAAAUAAUCAAACAGCGUAUUUUUUUAACAAUCUCAGUUUAUGGUAUUCUCUGGAAAAUUUUGUAUGCUAUCUCCGUACCUUAACCCAAGACAAUCUGACUUCCCUGAACAUAGUUAUGCAUGAAAAAAUCUUUAUAAUUGGAAAUUAAGAAUCUUCAUACCAAUUUCCGUUGCUAAAUUUUUGAGCAAAAAAAAAUUAAAUUUUAUCUACGAUUGAUGGCCUUUAUAUCAAUACAAGUUUAGUUUUAGUCUAUGUUGUUUUCUUCUCCUUUUAUUUAUGAGUAUUUACCUUUUUGUUUUUUUGUGUUAAGUUGCAUAUAUGGCAAGUUGCCACAAAAAACAAAGCAUGUGGCAAGUUGCCACUUGCCACACGCAACUUGCCACAUGCAACUUGCCACAUGCAACUUGCCACAUGCAACUUGCCACGUGCAACUUGCCACAUGCAACUUGCCACAUGCUACUUGCCACAUGCAACUUGCCACAUGCAACUUGCGACAUGAAUUCUGCCACAUGAUACUUGCCAAACGCAACUUCCCACAUAGAACUUGCCACAUUUUACGUACUGAAUGCCACAUGCCUCGUGCUACUUGCCACAUGCCACAUGCAACUUGCGACAUGAAAUAUGCAACUUGCCACGUAUUGUGUUUUUUUUUAUCGUACUGCGGCGUACUGCAUUUUUUAAUACUAAAGUACUAUCAACUCUAAAGGUAAAACGACAGCCCUGCUGCCCAAGUGUCUCGGAGAUGGCGAUCGCGUCAUAAUCCCUUUGACAUUCUUGUCAAAAAAACAAAUUUUCAUACCCACCGUCCCAUAAAAAGUAUAACUUCAAAAAUUGAUUCCAUUUGAUUAGAAUUGAUGGUAUUUAUAUAUAAAUAAAAACGAAAAUCGUAUUAAGAAAAUAUGUUUCAUUUUGUUGAUAAAUUUGUUUGUUUUGUGGUACCUAAUAAUUGAAUUAAACUUAGGUUUUUGGGUUUUAAACAGAUAAGACAUAAAUAUAUUGUUCUUUAGAUACAGUAGAACGUAUUUAUGUCCAACAAAAAUACAUCGGCAAAACAUCGAUGUAUCGAAGAUAGAACCGAUGUUUUCUUAACAUCGAUGUUGUAAAUAAAACAUCGAUGUAUUCAAACAUCGAUGUUUUUUUUAACGAUGUUGCAUCCCUAAUCUCUGAUGGAUUUAUGUGCUAAAGUUCUCAAAACCAUUGUUGUUAUCAACAGAACAAUAGAGAUCAAAACCAACUCUGACUAUCUUUUCGAAUUGGAUUCUGCAAGUCAAGUUAAUAAUAUCUUGCAUAACAGUGGUAAGCUUCAUGGAAGCGGUGUUUUUGUACAACGUGACUACACAGAAUCUGAACGUCAGCAGCGAUACCACCUACGACAGAUAAAAAAGAAUAUACAUGCGGCCAUCAAAAAUAUCAAGUGCUCGUUCAAAGGUACUACUCUCAUUGUUGAUGAUAAGGCAUUCAAAUGGAAUGAGCUGGGUGUUAUCGCAUCCUCUAAAGAUGACAAACUGUUUCUAUGUGACCUGUUGAGGGGUUCGAAUGCAAACUAUGAUGUGCUAGUGCAAGCUGUGAGACAGAAUACUAAGCAUCAGAGCAGCAGUGGCGUGUCGAGGUCAAAACAAUAACAACAAGAAGUAUGUCAGCUUUUAUCCUAUAAUGUAGCUAAUUUAGUCAAAGGAGCGUAUUUGCAUCAUGCGUUGCUGCAAGGCGGCCGGAAUGUUUACGGCAGAAUUAAGGCUGAGUGGACCACGUAAAAAUCGGGUUAUCGUUUACAAAUCGGUGAAUAACUUUUACAUUUUUAAAGAUAAUUGAAUGAAAUAAAUUUUAUUAUUUAGGUAAUAAACAAGGCUAAAUAUCUUCAUCCCUAUAAUUUCCAAAUUUGUCCACUUGUAAUCAAGAGAGAACAAAACAUGAUAAAAUUUUCGUUGUUUUAGAACGACCUGAAAGACAUUGGUUUGUUUCAUAGUUAGACUAAAAUUUUUAUUUUUUUUAUUUCUAUUUUGGAUUGAGGUUGAAUCAAACUACGGAGUAAAACUAUUUUGAAAAACUAAAAAUGUAUUUUUCAUCGAAAAAAAUUAAUCGAAACUGAAGCUAUUUUUCGUUAUGUUACAAUGUUUGAACAUUUGUAACUUCUGCAAUUAUUAAUAAAAUUCAUCGAAAUAAAAAGAAAUAAGUAACUCAACUCAAAUACUAACACAUUGAUUAGUUUAAAAAAUUUAUAUUAAGUUUUAAGGGCUUAAACAACAAAAAAAUGUUAAAAAGUCAUUUUUUCUUAACUUUUUUAAAACAAAGUGGUUUAAUUUCUUUGUUUUUCAAAGUAUGAUUUUGAUUUUUAUUUUAUUUAAAAGCUUAGUUUAUUGACUAUGGAGUAAAGGUAUAUUUUGUUGGAAAAUAUUAUUUUGUAACCCUCCAAUCGCUUUUAAAGGAGUCCCAAAAACAAUAAACUGUACUAAGAAACCAGAAUUUUUAGAUUUUUUGUUAUAUUUUUUUUAUUUUUUUUCAUUAUUUUUUCUAUCAAUAUCGAGUUAGAAAAC
Episyrphus balteatus (marmalade hoverfly) is the source of this 11481-nucleotide RNA transcript. It is a transcript of the gene named cofilin/actin-depolymerizing factor homolog, with no coding region annotated. The transcript is spliced from 4 exons. Lineage: Eukaryota; Metazoa; Arthropoda; Insecta; Diptera; Syrphidae. The record is from RefSeq and is a predicted model, not a curated record.